UAGGGAAUCUUGCGCAAUGGGCGAAAGCCUGACGCAGCCAUGCCGCGUGAAUGAUGAAGGUCUUAGGAUUGUAAAAUUCUUUCACCGGGGACGAUAAUGACGGUACCCGGAGAAGAAGCUCCGGCUAACUUCGUGCCAGCAGCCGCGGUAAUACGAAGGGGGCUAGCGUUGCUCGGAAUUACUGGGCGUAAAGGGCGCGUAGGCGGACAGUUUAGUCAGAGGUGAAAGCCCAGGGCUCAACCUUGGAACUGCCUUUGAUACUGGCUGUCUUGAGUUCGGGAGAGGUGAGUGGAAUGCCGAGUGUAGAGGUGAAAUUCGUAGAUAUUCGGCGGAACACCAGUGGCGAAGGCGACUCACUGGCCCGAUACUGACGCUGAGGCGCGAAAGCGUGGGGAGCAAACAGGAUUAGAUACCCUGGUAGUCCACGCCGUAAACGAUGAGUGCUAGUGUCGGCAUGCAUGCAUGUCGGUGACGCAGCUAACG
This 483-nucleotide ribosomal RNA is filed under the name uncultured Pseudomonadota bacterium. RNAcentral's name for it is "bacterial SSU rRNA". It matches the Rfam family "Bacterial small subunit ribosomal RNA", at positions 355 to 857 of the family's 1533-position model. Lineage: Bacteria; Pseudomonadati; Pseudomonadota. The record is from RNAcentral.